AUAGGCAUUUUUAUACGACCGCAAAAAAAUUUUUGUGGUCGUAUAUUGGUAUGACGUCGUCGUCCGAAGACACAUUGGUUUUCGCACUCUAACUUUAGUUUAAGUGAAUGGAUCUCUAUGAAAUUUUACCACAAGGUUCAAUACCACAAAAGGAAGGUUGGGAUUGAUUUUGGGGGUUAUGGUAAUAACAGUAAAGGAAUUAGGGGCCAAAAAGGGGCCAAAAAUAAGCAUUUUUGUAACUUCCAGACAUAACUUGUGUGUUAGUGUAUGGAUCUCUCUGACAUUGUACCACAAGGUUCCAUAUCACUAAAGGAAUGCUGGGAUUGAUUUUGGGGGUAAUUGCCUCCAAAUUUUAGGAAUUAGGGGCCAAAAAAGGGGCAAAAAACAAGCAUUUUUCUAGUUUCAUGACAAUAACUUGUGUGUAAGUGUAUGGAUCUUUCUGAAAUUGUACUACAAGGUUCCAUAUCACAAAGGGAAAGCUGGGUUUGAGUUUGGGGGUAAUUGCCCUAAACGUUUAGGAAUUUGGGGCCAAAAAGGGGCCAAAAAACACAUUUUUUUCUAGUUUCCAGACAAUAACAUGUGUUCAAGUGUAUGGAUCUCUCUGAAAUUGUACUGCAAGGUACCAUACCACAAAGGGAAGGCUGGGAUUGAGUUUGGGGGUGAUGAAUCAUAAUGGGGGUUCAAAAAAUUUGGGGGGGGGGGAUUUAUUUUUUUUUCCUUUUUUUUUCUUUUUUUCCUUUUUUGUUUCUUUUAAAAUUUUCCAUUUUAAGUUGGUUAUUUCUGAUUUAUAUUUAAAAUCAAAUAAUAAUGAUAUGGUAGGAGAUACACACCAAACAGGAUGUGUAAAUUAUUAUAUAAUAAGUAUUGUGCAAUAGCAAGAAAUUUUCAAUUGCACAUUAUUGCACAAUAGCAAGAAAUCUUCAAUUGCACAGUAUUGCGCAAUAGCAAGAAAUCUUCAAUUGCACAGUAUUGCGCAAUAGCAAGAAAUAUCCAAUAGCACAAUAUUGCGCAAUAGCAAGAAAUUGUCAAUUGUACAGUAUUGCGCAAUAGCAAGAAAUAUUUAAUAGCACAGGAUUGUGCAAAAGAAGAUACUUCGUAUAAAUUGCUUAUUUCUUGACCAAUUUCAAUGGGGUUUUAUUCUUGAUUUCAUGGGGUUCUUUAAUAUGCUGAAUCUAACCGUGUAUUUAGUUUUUGGAUUUUGGGCCCCGUUUGUAAAUUGGUCCACAUUGAGGUCCAAAGGGUCCAAAAUUAAACUUUGUUUGAUUUCAUCAAAAAUUGAAUUAUUGGGGUUCUUUGAUAUGCCGAAUCUAACUGUGUAUUUAGAUUCUUAAAUUUUGGUUCCGUUUUCAAAUUGGUCUACAUUAAGGUCCAAAGGGUCCAAAAUUAAACUUAGUUUGAUUUUAACAAAAAUUGAAUUCUUAGGGUUCUUUGAUAUGCUGAAUCUAAACAUGUAUUUAGAUUUUUGAUUAUGGGCCCAGUUUUCAAGUUGGUCCAAAUCGGGGUCCAAAAUUAAACUUUGUUUGAUUUCAACAAAAAUUGAAUAUAUGGGGUUCUUUGAUAUGCUGAAUCUAACCAUGUAUUUAGAUUUUUGAUUUUUGGGCCCCGUUAUCAACUUUGUCCACAUUGAGGUCAAAAGGGUCCAAAAUUAAACUUUGUUUGAUUUCAUCAAAAAUUGAAUUCUUGGGGUUCUUUGAUAUGCUGAAUCUAACCAUGUAUUUAGAUUUUGGAUAUUGGACCAUAAUAGGUGAAUGUCCAAUUUAAAAAUUUUAAGUUCUUAGACCACAUUCAAUCUGUGUUAGAAACCUAUGCUGUGUCAAAUAUUUAAUCACAAUCCAAAUCCAAAGCUGUAUCAAGCUUGAAUGUUGUGUCCAUACUUCCCCCAACUGUUCAGGGUUCGACCUCUGCGGUUGUAUCAAGCUGCGCCCUGCGGAGCAUUUUAUUCUAGUUUCCAGACAAUAACUUGUGUUCAAGUGUAUGGAUCUCUCUGAAAUUGUACUGCAAGGUACCAUACCACAAAGGGAAUGCUGGGAUUGAUUUUGGGGGUAAUUGCCUCAAAAUUUUAGGAAUUAGGGGCCAAAAAGGGGCAAAAAAACAAGCAUUUUUCUAGUUUCAGGACAAUAACUUGUGUGUAGGUGUAUGGAUCUUUAUGAAAUUGUACUACAAGGUUCCAUAUCACAAAAGGAAAGCUGGGUUUGAGUUUGGGGGUAAUUGCCCUUAACGUUUAGGAAUUUGGGGCCAAAAAGGGGCCUAACAACAAGCAUUUUUCUAGUUUCCAGACAAUAACUUGUGUUCAAGUGUAUGGAUCUCUCUGAAAUUGUACUGCAAGGUACCAUAUAUACCACAAAGGGAAGGCUGGGAUUGAGUUUGGGGGUAAUUGCCUCAAAAUUUUAGGAAUUAGUGGCCAAAAAGGGGCAAAAAACAAGCAUUUUUCUAGUUUCAGGACAAUAACUUGUGUGUAAGUGUAUGGAUCUUUAUGAAAUUGUACUACAACGUUCCAUAUCACAAAAGGAAAGCUGGGUUUGAGUUUGGGGGUAAUUGCUCUAAACGUUUAGGAAUUUGGGGCAAAAAAGGGGCCUAAAAACAAACAUUUUUCUAGUUUCCAGACAAUAACUUGUGUUCAAGUGUAUGGAUCUCUCUGAAAUUGUACUGCAAGGUACCAUACCACAAAGGGAAGGCUGGGAUUGAGUUUGGGGGUGAUGAAUCAUAAGGGGGUUCAAAAAAUUUAGUGGAGGGAUUUUUUUUUUCUUUAAAAUUUUCCAUUUUAAAUUGGUUAUUUCUGAUUUAUAUAUAAAAGCAAAUAAUAAUGAUAUGGUUUGAAUAGGUAAAUUAAAAAUUUUUAAGUUCUUAGACCACAUUCAUUCUGUGUCAGAAACCUAUGCUGUGUCAAGUAUUUAAUCACAAUCCAAAUUCAGUGCUGUAUCAAGCUUGAAUGUUGUGUCCAUACUUGCCCCAACUGUUCAGGGUUCGACCUCUGUGGU
Long non-coding RNA from Mytilus californianus (California mussel), 2978 nucleotides. RefSeq lists it as uncharacterized. Lineage: Eukaryota; Metazoa; Mollusca; Bivalvia; Mytilida; Mytilidae. The transcript has 3 exons. The record is from RefSeq and is a predicted model, not a curated record.